This 363-nucleotide unclassified non-coding RNA is filed under the name soil metagenome. Its description in RNAcentral is "partial contains 5.8S ribosomal RNA, internal transcribed spacer 2, and large subunit ribosomal RNA". The stretch from base 1 to 120 matches the Rfam family "5.8S ribosomal RNA", at positions 35 to 154 of the family's 154-position model. The record is from RNAcentral.
GAUGAAGAACGUAGCGAAAUGCGAUAAGUAAUGUGAAUUGCAGAAUUCAGUGAAUCAUCGAAUCUUUGAACGCACAUUGCGCCCUCCGGCAUUCCGGGGGGCAUGCCUGUCCGAGCGUCACGAAAACCCCAUCACACUCGUUGUGGUCAUGGCUGCAGUGAGUCGUCUCCAGCGGAGAGGGUCACGCCGCUGAAAGGAAUGGUGCGGAUGAGUUCCGAUGGCCGAACGUAGUACUUGACAACCGUCGGCCGAUGGGACCCUCCAUCUCGCCCUGACGACGUACCCCCGUCGUACCCCCGAUCAGGUGGACCUCGGAUCAGGUAGGGAUACCCGCUGAACUUAAGCAUAUCAAUAAGCGGAGGA